Molecule: long non-coding RNA, 251 nt
Filed under: Medicago truncatula (barrel medic)
Lineage: Eukaryota; Viridiplantae; Streptophyta; Magnoliopsida; Fabales; Fabaceae
Description: long non-coding RNA (MTRU_LNC002312)
Source: RNAcentral
UGCAGUUAAUAAAUUCCCCUUCAUCUUCUCCCUUUCCACAAACUAAACAAACAAUGUCAUGUAUGGGAGCAUACAUGAACAUGUCUCGACGUUUUUGUUCAUCCUCUUUCAACCACUUACUAAUCAGGAUGUUUUGGAGGACGGACUUCCGUGUCGCCACCAAAAUGCGUUUGUAUGGUUGUAUAUCCUCACUUUGAGCAUGCUUCUCAAACUUCCAUACAGAGAUUUCCUCGUCGCAACAGCUACAUAAG